This 2352-nucleotide long non-coding RNA is filed under the name Salmo salar (Atlantic salmon). RNAcentral's name for it is "lncRNA (ENSSSAG00000094126.1)". The record is from RNAcentral. Lineage: Eukaryota; Metazoa; Chordata; Actinopteri; Salmoniformes; Salmonidae.
CAACCAGUCACUGAAAAACAGAAAACAGAAUGGACAGGGUUUCAUGGUUUAUUGUCAAGCUGCAAAGUAUUUUCUUCUUCUUUAAAACCUGUUGGGGCUAGGGGGCAGUAUUUGCACGGCCGGAUAAAAAACGUACCCGAUUUAAUGUGGUUACUACUCCUGCCCAGUAACUAGAAUAUGCAUAUAAUUAGUAGAUUUGGAUAGAAAACACUCUAAAGUUUCUGAAACUGUUUGAAUGGUGUCUGUGAGUAUAACAAAACUCAUAUGGCAGGUCAAAACCUGAGAAGAUUCCAUGCAGGAAGUGGAAAUCUGAUUUGUGGAAUCACCUUUAACACUUUGCCUAUGAAACACACCGUGAGUUAGGAUUCAUUGAGCACUUCCUAAGGCUUCCACUAGAUGUCAACAGUCUUUACAAAGUAGUUUGAGUCUUCUCCGGUAAAAACUGACCGAAUGAGACGCCUGGAAAGUUGGUCAUAGGGGGAUGGCCAUGUCUACUAUGACGCGGGCGCCCGUGGGUACCCUUUCGUUACGAAACGUUUAGUAAGACAAUGCGUCAGCCUUGAAUAUUAUUGAAGCUCUGAUUGAAAAAGGCCCUAAAGAUUUACGUUAUACAACGUUUGACAUGUUUGAACGAACGUAAAUAUAUAUUUUUUGCACAUUCGUGAUGACAAGCCUCGUACAUUAUGAGUAGCCUUUGGAACGUGCUAACAAGAAGGAGCUAUUGGGACAUAAAUUAUAAACUUUUUCGAGCAGAACUACAUUUGUUGUGGACCUGGGAUUCCUGGAAGUGCCUUCUGAUGAAGAUAAUCAAAGGUAAGGGAAUAUUUACAAUAGUAUAUUUGAUUUUAGAUGGUUCCAAGAUGGCGCUAACCUGUAUCGCCUAGCUUAUUUUUCUGAGCAUAGCACCUCGUUUAUUGCAAAGUGUGAUUUCCCAGUAAAGUUAUUUUUAUAUCUGCCAAUGUGGUUGCAUUCACGAGAUGUUAAUCUACAAUUCUUUGAAUGACAUUUUAACAAUGUUUUCGAAUAGUAAUUUGUAAAUUGUAGCGCUGAUUCACCAGAAGCAUUUGAGGGAAAAUAUUUUCUGAACGUCACGCGUCGAUGUAAAAUUCAGUUUUUAUAUAUAAAUAUGAACUUUAUCGAACAAAAAAUGCAUGUAUUUUGCUUAGAAAAUGGCAGUGUGAUUAUUUUUGGCAGGGUACUCUCCUAACAUAAUCUAAUGUUUUGCUUUUGCUGUAAAGCCUUUUUGAAAUCGGACAACGUGGUUCGAUUCAGGAGAGGUGUAUCUAUAAAAUGGUGUAAAAUAGUCAUAUGUUUGAGAAAUUGAAGUUAUAGCAUUUAUGAGGUAUUUGUAUUUCGCGCGACGCGAUUCCACGGGCUGUUGACUAGGGUGGGACGCAAGCGUCCCACGUUGCCCAGAAAGGUUAAAUCUCACAGAAAUAACAGUAAACACUCAGCGGACUAGAGUGUCUGAUGCAAGACCCUCACUAACACUGUCUCUGAUGUCAUCAUUAGGCGCACACAGCACAGCCCGCCAAACAGGGAGCAUCAUUUAACCCCAACCCAGUCAAGUGCCUCCCCCCUCCCCCCAGCUGAUCAGUAUUCUCUCUGAUUUAGUUUUUAUUAUUCCCUUAUUUUACCCUCAUGACAACCAGAGGAAAACAUAUUAUAUUUAACAUAAAUCCGUGCCACUCCAUUUAGUAGAAUAUUUGACUCUACGUUAGCUUAUAUUACAAUGGCCUAUCAUCGUACAAUAUAAUUUGAAUUGUAGGACGUAUAGUAUUCUACGUUUUUAUUGUUUAGUAUGAUAUAUUACAUUCAACUGCUUUAGUAUUAUAUGCUACGUUAGGUUAAGGGUUAGGGCUAGGUUUAGGGGAAGGGUUAGGUUUAGGGGAAGGAUUAGCUAACAUGCUAAGUAGUUGCAAAGUAGCUAAAAAGUAGUAAGUACAGUGGGGGAAAAAAGUAUUUGAACCCCUGCUGAUUUUGUACGUUUGCCCACUGAUAAAGAAAGGAUCAGUCUAUAAUUUUAAUGGUAGGUUUAUUUGAACAGUGAGAGCCAGAAUAACAACAAAACAAUCCAGAAAAACGCAUGUCAAAAAUGUAUAAAUUGAUUUGCAUUUUAACUUCUCUAGGGCCAGUGGGACGAUUUCGUCCCACCUACGUAACAGCCAGUGGAAUCCCGUGGCGCAUUAUUCAAAUACCUUAGAAAUGCUAUUACUUCAAUUUCUCAAACAUAUUACUAUUUAACACCAUUUUAAAGACAAGACUCUCGUUAACCUGUUAGGGCUAGGGGGCAGUAUUUGCACGGCUGGAUAAAAAAAAUGUACCCGAUUUAACCUCUAUGGGCUAGGUGGG